This is a long non-coding RNA of Populus trichocarpa (black cottonwood), 328 nucleotides long. RefSeq lists it as uncharacterized. NCBI's taxonomy places the organism in Eukaryota, Viridiplantae, Streptophyta, Magnoliopsida, Malpighiales, Salicaceae. The record is from RefSeq and is a predicted model, not a curated record. The transcript is spliced from 2 exons.
AAUAAUUAUUUGUACGAGUGUGUUCUGUUUGUUUCCUUGCCAUUGUUGUGCUUUGCAUGUGCAUGUCCAUCCCGUUCUAGCAACAUACAGCCAUUGUUGUGCUUUGCAUGUGCAUGUCCAUCCCGUUCUAGCAAUAUACAGCCAUUGAAUAUGACGUUAAAAAUAUCGAUAAAGUUUUAAUGGCCUCAUUUUUAUUGUAACACAAGAAAAGCACAAAUUAGUGAAAUAGACUACAUGAUAAUAUAGGUAUGACGAGCACUGGCUACCCUGGUAUUCAUUAGAUAUCGAGGGUUGGGAUUUUCUUUCAGUAAAAGAAUUAUUUCAAAUU